This 3949-nucleotide small RNA is filed under the name Histoplasma capsulatum var. duboisii H88. RNAcentral describes it as "Histoplasma capsulatum H88 hypothetical RNA". Lineage: Eukaryota; Fungi; Ascomycota; Eurotiomycetes; Onygenales; Ajellomycetaceae. The record is from RNAcentral.
UACACUACGGAUAUGGGAAAUUUUGCUUCAGUCAUGGCUUCAAGAUUUUGCGCACCCAGCGCACAUGGGCGACGACGAAUGCAUGAGAGGGAGCAGGCCUACUCAAGGGUUUGGGGGGUUGGGCUGGCAGGCUGUAUGUAGCCUUAGAAAAAUAUGAAGAAGAAGAACAACAACAACAAGGGUGUGGUGGCCGUACAGUGAUUGCCAUUGGCUAUCAAUUGGAUUCAGCACUCGCCAGUAUAGCGGUUAGUGGAGAUGGUUUUUGCUCUGAGGACGCGGCGAGAAGUUUCGGACUCGCAAUUUGUCAGGAACAUGGGCAAAUCGCCUUCCUCGAUAAUGUUUUGAUCCGUCAAGGCAAAAUUGACCUCGUCGUAAACCCACCAGUCCGAACUUAAACCAGGAUCGUAAGGACGAGUUCUCAAUUUCUCAUCGGGUAGCAACGCUGCCAUUUAGCCUCUUUAGCCUGUUCAGUCAUGCUUCGUCCACAUCUGGCAGUCACCAAGCUAUUUGCCCUCCGUCCUUGGAUUCUCCAUUAGACCGCUGUACUCCACUCUUCGUUUUCCAGCCUCUUCUCUGCAUACAUCUACAACUUUUCGCGACGGAACCUGUUACAACAACCACAUUUGACGCGAUACUCAUCUUCAUUCGACAGAAGGCACCUUAGCAUAUCCCUCAGUGGGUUCUCCUCACCUACCACCAAAUAUGCGACAGGAUCCAAUCCAAGGCUGGAGAUAUUGUAGAGCGACAACAGUAUAUACACGGUCGCAUAUCUAACGCCGUCGAAUACGAAAGAACGAUAACAUUCAGAGGUGCAUUGACCAGGAUUUCGGACCCAACACGCGUGAUACCCACCGAACCGCCACGCAGAAACAUUACAAAGGAUGAGACACAUGCUGUUCCUGCUGGGCUUGAGGUUGAAGUGAUAGAUGGUUGGGUAACGCUGACCAAGUCCGCCGCGACAUGAAUGAAUAAAGUAUCUGAAGUCCUUCCCUGCGACCGACCCAAAGAGUGACGGACAUAUCUUCGUUCUUUCCCUCGGGAAUCAGUGUGGUCAUACAUUCUGCUGUCGUCUCCCCUAACCUUCUCUCUGUUGCCCACUGAUUGCUGGUCUGCAGUGCGUUGAAAAGCGGGCCCCCCAAAAGGUUUAUAAGGUCGACUGGUGCUUUUGAGAACAUGUAUUGAAUUUCCAACGCAUGUAUUCUGUCAACAGUGCCUUGCGAAAACUGUACUCACUUUACUUACGCCUGCUUCUCUCUGCAUCUCUUGCAACGAGUCCCACCAGCUGUGUUGUUGGCGACUGCUGGCCUUCAGUCUGUUCCAUCCGCCUGAUGCGUUUUACUCGUCGCAACUCAAUACGCUCUGUAUAGCCAGUCUUUAUCGCUUCUGGGUCAUCAGAUUGCAACACACUUUUGAGAAACUCCUUAAACAACUUAUCAUCCUCUGGUUCAAAAUUUCCAUUAAGUAUCCUGUCGACGUCGUCGCCGUAUAGGUAAUUAAAUAGCGAGUAACGAUGCACAAAAUCUGCCACGUUGGCAAUACGGUAGUCGAAAUGAGCCGAAGACAUAUCGUUGAUGUCUCUAACCUUGUAAGCCAGCGCGCAGAAUACCAAUGCAUCACACUUUAGUUUCCGCAGUUCUCCUUGCUUAUUUUCUUUGCGGUCUGUUUUCUCAAAUGCGAACUUCAUGAAAUUUUCCACCCUAACCGCCUGCUACCUAGGGAAGGGUCACAUCAUCCGGUUGUUGUCGUACGGCGUUGGUUGUCGCUUGGAGAACGUUGUGAAUCUCAAGCUGUAUCUGACACACUUUGCAGCACCUCACCCAUCAAGGUCAAGAUCCUUGUGAUGCCAAAGCUUAGAUCCAAUCUGGUCCAGAUUUGACUGGCAUUCUGGGGAAAGUGAAACCAUUCUGGAAUGUGCGCGAUGUACAAAUCAGCAGCUUCCUGCCAGACAAACUGUCCUUUCGAAGCAGAGGGAAGAAAAAAAUUCCUGGUGGACCUUGGUGAGGAAUACAAGGCCCGAGCAACGAAAUUGUCUGGCUGCUACAAAUUGCACCAACGAUCAUGAUUGGUUUACACCGCUUGACGGCUAUCUUUUCGUAAUCGAAGAAACGUCGCCGCUUCAGAUGGGGGCCAGUUUCUUUCCUUAUCUCCUCGUCCGUAGGUUUUGGCAAAAAUUCGCGUGGUAUUGACAAGAUUAACCAUCCCCACAAUAGUUAGGGGUUGAGAAUAUGGUGAAGUCACGGGAUAAAAGCUCUCUAAAGAAAAGAAAACAAAAAAAAGGAAGAAAGGAACUAAAAUAAAAUCUAUCCUGAUCUCAUCAUGCUUUAUCUGGCCAGUAGGUCUUUAUGAUGUCCCUCUUGUUCACCUUCCCCAUUGCGUUCCGCUCGAUGUUAUCCACGAGUUUCAACACGGUAGGCACCUUGUAUGAGGCCAUUUCUUCCCUCAGUCGAAUACGUAGGGGGCUGAGUUCGAGCGCAGGAGUCUGGUCAAUGGAAAGGGAAAAAUUAGUCGGCUUAGCAUCAAUCAUCCAAUACAUGCCCAGCGUGUGAGGAGGGGAGGAAGAUGAGUGAGAAAGUAAGUAAGUAAGAAAGAAAGAAAGAAAGAAAAGAACGUACACCAGACCUCUGCUUAACCACAGCCGCCACCCGCUGACCCCAUUCCUCAUCCGCAAGCCCGACAACCACGACCUCCUGAAUCUCGUCCAAUGCCAGCAUCUUCCUUUCCACUUCUAGCGCCGAGAUCUUGUAGCCACCAGACUUGAUCAGAUCAACUGACGCCCGGCCCUGGAUAUAAUACGCCCCGUUCGAAUCCCGCUUAGCAACAUCGCCCGUCUUAAACCACCCAUCCGCGGUAAACUCCUUCGCAGUAGCUUCCGGUCGUCUCCAAUAUUCCAGAAACACAUUAUCCCCUUUCACCUCAAUCAUGCCCGCCUCCUCCGUCUCCGCCGCAACCAACUGCCCGGUUUCCUUAUUGGUGAGCCGAACCUGCACGCCCGGCAGCGGCCACCCAACGCUGCCGUCAAUUCUCGUCUCGAUAUCGAGCCCACAGCUAAUCCCCAUGCCGAUCUCCGUCAUGCCAUACCGUUCCAGCAGCACCUGGCCCGUAAUCUCCGCGAAUUUCGUCUUGAUGGGCGUGGGCAGGGCCGCCGAGCCACUGACAACCAGACGCAGGGCCUUCGUGCCCCUCCGUGCAUCCGGCUCCAGCUCCGUCGACCGGAUGUGCGCAUCGAAGUAGUCCACGAGCCGCGAGUAGAUGGUCGGCACGGCGAAGAACAUCGUCGACGAGCCCCGAUCGCACCACCGCCUCCAGACCACGGCGGGAUCGAACUUGGGGUGCAUUUCCACUGUCGCGCCGGCGAGGAGCGUGGCCGUGAGCCCGUUGAUGAUCCCAUGCACAUGGUGCAAGGGGAGCACAUGGAUGAGGUGGUCUGCCGGUGUGUAUUCCCAGGCCUUGGCAAGGCACUCCGAUUGGAAUGUUAUGUUCUUGUGGGUUGUGACGCAGCCUUUGGGGUUCGAGGUUGUUCCGGACGUAUAUAUCAUCAAUGCGCGCCUGGAUUGGGGGAGGGAAGCGUGGAACGGUGGUAAGGGCACUAGAGAUUUUGUGCUGGCGACGAGAGGGAUUAGAUCAAAAAAGGGAAUAUCGGGACAAGCUUCUCGAAUGGCGGUUUUCAUAUGGCUGAAUGAGGGAUGGAGGAUGAUCAACGAAGGAUCCGAAUCGGUAAUGGUAUAUAUGAUUUCUUUCGUCGGAUGGGUGGUGCCUGUUAUGAUUAAACCGGUUAGCUUUUCCAACGAGUAAGAAGUAAAAAGUAAAAAAAAAAAACAAAAAACAACAAUUGAAUAUCUCCUACACAAUGGCACGCAUACUCCGCCGGUAGCCCAUACAGCCCACUGACAAACAACAUAGUCGUAUCCCGCGGGUGUCAAAAACGCAAUGCGUCGCUCCUCCAAAUCCC